CCCCUCCAUCUUCUGCAGGCAGAAGCAGCAUCUGGGACAGCCAGGGCUGCCAGCAGUGCAGGAGAGCACUGCCACCACGUGCAAACCCAGCUUCUCCGCAUCCCCCAUGUCAGGAGACCAAUUUUUAAAACCCAAUCAUCUUUCUCUCUCUUCAGUCUCUCAUCUUAAUGAAACUGUCACAAGUCCAGUAGGUGGUCUGAUUGGCUUUUUUGGGCUUCACAAGCUAUAAUUUCUUCAUCACUUCAUCAUUUUUGCACUGUGAAUUACUAUUUCAGCCUGUUCUUUCACCUUCUUUUUAAUCAUCAGCUUUUUAAGUAAUACCACAUAGGUGAAAAAUACUAAUAUAACAGUCAUUUUAACAGCUGGUUAAAUUAACUCUGUGAUGGCAGGGCAUGCAGCAAUUUGUGAAGUGCACAAGUGAAGAGGUGUUCCAGUGGUGCUGAGAAGAUGGAGUACGGCUUCAGAACCUGGAAAACAAAAUUAGGUCCUAUCUACGUGGGGAUGCUGAGGAAACUCAAGCUGAGCUAAUUGAAGAAUGGGGCACUGCUAUUCUUCACAAUGAGUAGACAAUGAAGGAAAUGCUCAUAAUUGACCAGCAAAUGAUGCAAGACCUAUACAAACAGAAUAAAAGAUCUCCUGGUCUCUAAGUAAAAAAGCACUUUCUCCAAAAGUAGCAGGAGAGAGGAACAACGAGAUACAGCAUCACUUGUUUCCCUCAUUGAGUAGAGAGGGUACCAAAGGGCUGAUGGAUGUGGAGUAAUGCUUGGGUAAGAUUGACAACUAUUUCCUCCUGCUACGUACACACAACCAGCACCCACCUGUUUUCCUCCCACCCAGAGAUAUUUUUGAAAGCUUCUUCUAGCAAAUUUCUGCACCAAAAUUAAACCCAUCUAGCAGUCAGCCUUACUGUCGUGUUCCCACGUCAGCUGUGUGUCAUGACAACAGAUGACAGAAACACUGCUAUUCAGGCUUCAGAGUGCGUGUUUCUUUUCUUCUCUUUCUUUUUUUUCUUUUUCUUUUUUUUUUCUCUCUCUCUCUCUUUUUAUUAUUAUUAUUAUUAUUAUUACCUUUAAAAAG
Gallus gallus (chicken) is the source of this 1077-nucleotide long non-coding RNA. The record is from Ensembl. NCBI's taxonomy places the organism in Eukaryota, Metazoa, Chordata, Aves, Galliformes, Phasianidae.